This 117-nucleotide ribosomal RNA is filed under the name Sinocyclocheilus rhinocerous. The record is from RNAcentral. Lineage: Eukaryota; Metazoa; Chordata; Actinopteri; Cypriniformes; Cyprinidae.
AGCCACAGCCAUAUCACCCUACAGCCCAAGACUGGUUGCCCACUGAAGCUAAGCAGGGUUGAGCCUGGUCAGUACCUGGAUGGGAGACCUCCUGGGAAAACUAGGUUGCUGUUGGAA